UACGAAGGGGGCUAGCGUUGCUCGGAAUCACUGGGCGUAAAGGGUGCGUAGGCGGGCCAUUAAGUCAGUGGUGAAAGCUCCGAGCUUAACUCGGAAACUGCCAUUGAUACUAUUGGUCUUGAAUUCGGUCGAGGUUGGCGGAAUGUGUCGUGUAGCGGUGAAAUGCUUAGAUAUGACACAGAACACCGAUUGCGAAGGCAGCUAGCUAGACCGACAUUGACGCUGAGGCACGAAAGCGUGGGGAUCAAACAGG
Molecule: ribosomal RNA, 253 nt
Filed under: uncultured bacterium
Lineage: Bacteria
Description: partial 16S ribosomal RNA
Rfam family: Bacterial small subunit ribosomal RNA
Source: RNAcentral